Molecule: long non-coding RNA, 300 nt
Filed under: Ananas comosus (pineapple)
Lineage: Eukaryota; Viridiplantae; Streptophyta; Magnoliopsida; Poales; Bromeliaceae
Description: long non-coding RNA (ACOM_LNC010590)
Source: RNAcentral
UUAAAAUUUUAAUUCUGAAUUGAAAAUUGAUUUUUUUUAUUUAAUUUUGAAUUUUGCAUUAAAACAUGAAUAAAUUGGGAGUAGAGGUAUAAUUAAAUUAAGUUCAGAGAGAGAGAGAGAGAGAGAUCGAAUGAUAGAUGCAAUGGAAGUGAUGGAACGGAACAAUUGUUUUUUUUUUUUUUUUUUGUGAAGAAAAGAUAGCAUAUUAUCCGAUUCAUCGAUAAGUAAUGGAACAAUUGUUGAGGGCUCGGUUGAAAGGUAUUGGGUUUGUUUAAUCCGGCGAUAUCCCUUGCAGGAUAC